Molecule: long non-coding RNA, 1028 nt
Organism: Girardinichthys multiradiatus
Lineage: Eukaryota; Metazoa; Chordata; Actinopteri; Cyprinodontiformes; Goodeidae
Exons: 3
Source: RefSeq, a predicted model, not a curated record
UUUCAGAUCUGCUGCUGAUUGUGCCUACCUGAACCUGCCGCCAGUCCUUCGUUGCCUGAGUGUUGUACCAACGUGUUGCUUCUACCUGUGAGGUGUGGGUGGAUGAAAAGCUACCCCGGACCGGAAACCAAAAGAUCUACAAGACCUACAGUACAGCCCUCUGGUUAUCCAAAACCUGCCUGGCGGUUUGGCUCCCAAUCAUUGCAACCCUGUGGUAGGCAGUAAGGCUGUCAACCUUUGGAUGAAACACAAUCUGCCCUGUUACUGGACCUCUCCCAGACCCCUGCUCCCAAGGCCCCGAUUUAGAAGAUCCCUCCCUUCUCCAAACAUCCCAGGCAACAAAAGUUACCAAGAAGCUAGGAGAACCCGCUGGCGAAACUUGACCAAUGCUUCCUGUGCACCUCUGAACGCGGCCAGAUAAAUAAAACCUGAUAAACUGUUUCCUGUCUCCUGAGUGUGGUUUGCAUGUGGUUCAAACAAUUAUCUAAGGAUAUGACACAUACAGUGUUUUCAUGUCUCUGCUGCCCACUCUAAUUGGCUUCAUUCAGUCCACCUGCAUUUUCCAGUCAGUUUUCCUGUUUUCACCGGUUUGUUGUACUAUUUACUCUUCAGUUCUGUUACUCCUCGCUGGUGAAUAGUGUUUUGUUCAUGCCACCCCCAUCCAUGUCAAUGCCAGCUUCUACCAUUCCAUGUCUGGCAGUAAGAUUUAUCUUUUUGUUUUAAACAUCUGUUUGCCGUUCUGCUUUUGCCUGCCUGUCUGCAUUGAGGUCCAGCCCAAGAACUUUUUAUGACAAAUGUGUUGAAAUUCAAAACAUUUUACACAAGUGUGAAUUAAUUUCACAUUGUAUAUGUUGAUGCAAGACAUGUUUGCUUUAUAUUUCAUUACUAAUAAAUAAUUGAUCAUGUUGUGAUUAUUUGUGAAAGGUAAUCUUUUUCUUUUCCCUCUAUGGGAGGACGAUGUGAUGGGUCUAUUUGAAUUGAGGAGGCAGGGUCCUUACAUAUAUACAGGUGGACUGGAUGUGGCAGAG